Molecule: unclassified non-coding RNA, 315 nt
Filed under: Hevea brasiliensis (rubber tree)
Lineage: Eukaryota; Viridiplantae; Streptophyta; Magnoliopsida; Malpighiales; Euphorbiaceae
Source: RNAcentral
UGGUAGGACUGAUGAAUGAGAACAAAGUUUCGGAGGCUGCCAAGCUUGUUGGCGAAUUGGGAAGUUUUAAGUUAAAGCCUGAUGUGUUUACAUAUGGUGCGUUGAUUAGAGGAUUUUGUAAAAUGAGUAAUUUGGAGGAGGCUAAAAAGUGGUAUAAAGAACUUGUGAAGAGCGGUUCUGUUCCAAACAAGGUGAUAUUCGUUAGUGUCAUUUCAUCUGCGUGCGAAAAGGGUGAUUUUGAUUGGGCUCUUGAGUUGUGCAAAGAGGUUUUUAAAAGAAAGUGUAAUGUUGAUGCAAAGUUGUUGCAAAGAGUGG